UACGGAAGGCAGCAGUGGGGAAUAUUGCACAAUGGGCGAAAGCCUGAUGCAGCUAUGCCGCGUGUAUGAAGAAGGCCUUAGGGUUGUAAAGUACUUUCAUCGGGGAGGAAAAAACAAAACUAAUAAUUUUAUUUCUUGACGUUACCCGAAAAAGAAGCACCGGCUAACUCCGUGCCAGCGGCCGCGGUAAUACGGAGGGUGCUAGCGUUAAUCAGAAUUACUGGGCGUAAAGAGCACGUAGGUGGUUUUUUUAAGUCAGAUGUGAAAUCCCUGGGCUUAACCUGGAACUGCAUUUUGAAACUGAAAUACUAGAGUAUCGUAGAGGGAGGUAGAAUUCUAGGUGUAGCGGUGAAAUGCGUAGAUAUCUGGAGGAAUACCUGUGGCGAAAGCGGCCUCCUAAACGAAUACUGACACUGAGGUGCGAAAGCGUGGGGAGCAAACAGGGAUUAGAUACCCGU
RNAcentral lists this ribosomal RNA (458 nucleotides) under uncultured bacterium. Its description in RNAcentral is "bacterial SSU rRNA". It matches the Rfam family "Bacterial small subunit ribosomal RNA", at positions 340 to 789 of the family's 1533-position model. The record is from RNAcentral.